This 492-nucleotide ribosomal RNA is filed under the name uncultured bacterium. RNAcentral describes it as "partial 16S ribosomal RNA". It matches the Rfam family "Bacterial small subunit ribosomal RNA", at positions 29 to 507 of the family's 1533-position model. The record is from RNAcentral.
AGUGAACGCUGGCGGCAUGCCUAAUACAUGCAAGUCGAACGGCAGCACACUAAUAGCUUGCUUUUACGAGUUGCGAGUGGCGGACGGGUGAGGAAUAUAUCGGAACUUACUUUUUCGUUGGGGCUAACGUAGGGAACGUUACCCUAAUACCGCAUACGACCUACGUCUGAAAGCAGGGGAUCUUCGGAUCUUUAUGGUUACAAUGUGCGUUUGUCGGAUUAGCUAGUUGGCGGGGUAAAGGCCCACCAAGGCGACGAUCCAUAGCUGGUCUGAGAGGAUGAUCAGCCACACUGGAACUGAGACACGGUCCAGACUCCUACGGGAGGCAGCAGUGGGGAAUAUUGGACAAUGGGCGCAAGCCUGAUCCAGCCAUGCCGCGUGGGUGAAGAAGGACUUCGGGUUGUAAAGCCCUUUUGUUGGGGAAGAAAGGCAGCAGGUUAAUAACCCGCUGUUGUGACGGUACCCAAAGAAUAAGCAACGGCUAACUUCGUG